UACAGAGGAUGCAAGCGUUGUUCGGAUUCAUUGGGCGUAAAGGGUGCGUAGGUGGCGCCGUAAGUCGGGUGUGAAAUUUCGGAGCUUAACUCCGAAACUGCAUUCGAUACUGCGGUGCUUGAGGACUGGAGAGGAGACUGGAAUUCAUGGUGUAGCAGUGAAAUGCGUAGAGAUCAUGAGGAAGACCAGUGGCGAAGGCGGGUCUCUGGACAGUUCCUGACACUGAGGCACGAAGGCCAGGGGAGCAAACGGG
RNAcentral lists this ribosomal RNA (253 nucleotides) under uncultured bacterium. RNAcentral's name for it is "partial 16S ribosomal RNA". It matches the Rfam family "Bacterial small subunit ribosomal RNA", at positions 524 to 776 of the family's 1533-position model. The record is from RNAcentral.